Long non-coding RNA from Orbicella faveolata, 910 nucleotides. NCBI's taxonomy places the organism in Eukaryota, Metazoa, Cnidaria, Anthozoa, Scleractinia, Merulinidae. The record is from RefSeq and is a predicted model, not a curated record.
GAACUUGGCCAAUAUCCAGCCAUCUUGGCCUCACGCUUGGUCAAUAACCCAUAUGUAUUUUCCAUCCACACGAUCACUGUUAAAUGAUAACUGACUAAAACUGUGUUGCUGAAUGUGUAGCAACAAGAGGGUAACAAGUUAUGAUUUUUUGUUUUUUGUUUUUUUGUUCCUCGCCAGUGGUACCUGGGGCUGGUAGAUAAUGCUCCAUGUCGGUUAAUUAAAAAUAUUAACUCCGCUGAAGACAAGAUGACGCAGCUUCAUGAACAACUUAAGACCCAUCAAGAUAGCAUCAUGGCGUUAAGAACAGAAAUGCGGUCUCAAAGAACAAUACUCGAGAACAUCUCAAGACAGUUUGGAGCGCACUCUCCAGUCAGUACCAGAACUGACCUCCUGGAUGACUUCUAAGACAUACUCAGCAUUUAACAGCAAUUGAUUCAGCCAGGCUCGAUGUCAAUUUACAGGAUUACAUCGAAAGACAUCUUAACAAUUUCCCGUGUCCGUAUUACUCGACCUUAAAACAAUGAUUAUAAACCAAAAGUCAAUUUAAGCUCGGCUCUUGCCAAAAAUGCGCUGCUACAUGAACCGCGUGUACAUAUAUGCUCGAAUUAUUGCUUCAAGUUAUUCCAGGUAAUGUGUACAGUUAUAAACCAGUAGGGUCGCUAUAGAACUUACAGUAGCUAAUACAGUAGACGCUACAGUAGACGAUAAAGUAAAUGACGUGUAAUAGGAAAUGUGGUCAGAAGUAAUGUAAAUGGCUGAUUAUGAGCAUUGAUUAAUUUAUUAAUGUUUACACUUAAAAACUAAGAUCUAUGUUAUAUUUCCUUAAGAGAAUCUUGAAGUACGUUGUAUUCAUGCCCAUCACAAUACAAACCUUACACAAGGCAGAAAUAAAAUCAAAGUUAGCACUGUA